RNAcentral lists this small nucleolar RNA (127 nucleotides) under Chelydra serpentina (North American snapping turtle). RNAcentral describes it as "Small nucleolar RNA SNORA63 (ENSCSRG00000006255.1)". It matches the Rfam family "Small nucleolar RNA SNORA63". From Rfam's summary of the family: E3 belongs to the H/ACA class of snoRNAs and is involved in the processing of eukaryotic pre-rRNA and has regions of complementarity to 18S rRNA. Lineage: Eukaryota; Metazoa; Chordata; Testudines; Chelydridae. The record is from Rfam by way of RNAcentral.
AAGCAGGUUAAGUUACAAUGUAGCUGUGAAGUGCUGUAUUGUCGUUCCCCCUGCUCAAAGCAAAUGUUUCAUACUAUCCCUGCCUGCCUUGAUCCCAUAGCAGAUGGGGACGCUUGGUCUCAUACAC